UUGCUACUUUGCUGACGAGCGGCGGCACGGGUGAGUAAUGCUUGGGAACAUGCCUUGAGGUGGGGGACAACAGUUGGAAACGACUGCUAAUACCGCAUAAUGUCUACGGACCAAAGGGGGCUUCGGCUCUCGCCUUUAGAUUGGCCCAAGUGGGAUUAGCUAGUUGGUGAGGUAAUGGCUCACCAAGGCGACGAUCCCUAGCUGGUUUGAGAGGAUGAUCAGCCACACUGGGACUGAGACACGGCCCAGACUCCUACGGGAGGCAGCAGUGGGGAAUAUUGCACAAUGGGCGCAAGCCUGAUGCAGCCAUGCCGCGUGUGUGAAGAAGGCCUUCGGGUUGUAAAGCACUUUCAGUCAGGAGGAAAGGUUAACGGUUAAUACCCGUUAGCUGUGACGUUACUGACAGAAGAAGCACCGGCUAACUCCGUGCCAGCAGCCGCGGUAAUACGGAGGGUGCGAGCGUUAAUCGGAAUUACUGGGCGUAAAGCGUACGCAGGCGGUUUGUUAAGCGAGAUGUGAAAGCCCCGGGCUCAACCUGGGAACUGCAUUUCGAACUGGCAAACUAGAGUGUGAUAGAGGGUGGUAGAAUUUCAGGUGUAGCGGUGAAAUGCGUAGAGAUCUGAAGGAAUACCGAUGGCGAAGGCAGCCACCUGGGUCAACACUGACGCUCAUGUACGAAAGCGUGGGGAGCAAACGGGAUUAGAUACCCCGGUAGUCCACGCCGUAAACG
Molecule: ribosomal RNA, 730 nt
Filed under: uncultured bacterium
Lineage: Bacteria
Description: bacterial SSU rRNA
Rfam family: Bacterial small subunit ribosomal RNA
Source: RNAcentral